GUCGUAACAAGGUUUCCGUAGGUGAACCUGCGGAAGGAUCAUUACCACACCUAAAAACUUUCCACGUGAACCGUUAUAACUAUGUUCUGUGCUUCGUCUUCUUGUAAGAUUUGAGGCUGAACGAAGGUGAGUCUGCGUCUAUUAUGGAUGCGGAUUUGCCGAUGUUAUUUUAAACACCUAUUACUUAAUACUGAACUAUACUCCGAAUACGAAAGUUUUUGGUUUUAACAAUUAACAACUUUCAGCAGUGGAUGUCUAGGCUC
This 263-nucleotide unclassified non-coding RNA is filed under the name fungal sp. RNAcentral describes it as "partial internal transcribed spacer region". The stretch from base 1 to 44 matches the Rfam family "Eukaryotic small subunit ribosomal RNA", at positions 1788 to 1831 of the family's 1831-position model. The record is from RNAcentral. Lineage: Eukaryota; Fungi.